Molecule: long non-coding RNA, 1229 nt
Organism: Sycon ciliatum
Lineage: Eukaryota; Metazoa; Porifera; Calcarea; Leucosolenida; Sycettidae
Exons: 3
Source: RefSeq, a predicted model, not a curated record
UGAUCAGAUCGAUCGAUUGAUUGAUUGAUUUUGAUUCAAAAUUUCAGUUCUCUCUCUCUAGCUCUGUCUAUCUUGCGAGAUCUCUUUCUUCCUACUUCACCUGUCUUCUCGAGCUGUCUACUUUCCUUUCGUGAACUCGGUAAACAAACUUUGGUGUGUAGGUUUGGCUUCAAGAUGAGUACAUCAAGGAACUUUCAUAAAGACGUCAUGAGUAGACUUCAGGCAGUGGACCCCAUGAUGUCUGAGGACAUGAUUGGUCUGGAAGAGACUGAAGCCGUCGAUGCACAGGCCUCUAACUUGCAGCUCGGAGAUGUUUCCAACGAACGUGCCGUGCACCUUGCCUUUCCAAACUCUUUCGGCGAUUUGUGCGAUGACAGUGACUUGUGAUAGCCAUCUACAUGCAGCCGUGCGCGUUGCUUAUGGCGAUGGAUACUCGCAGCUGCUCGCCGGAGUAUCACUAGUAUCGCUUGCAUCCGCAUGGCGUAGAAUGGGGUAACUAAGUCUUUGUAUUGAGGCUGGUUUGAGGCUGGUAGCAUGUACCCAGUCACGUGACAUUACGUACACGCCGAUGGUCAUCCGAACCCACACCUGCGUGUUCUUGCACACAUACAAGGCAGGACCUCAGACAUUUUGUGUUCUUGAAGUAGUCUACAUACCAGUAUGUGCUUUUUUAUUUUGUAGCAGUGGAUGGCUCAUAUGUGCCUCCCAGUGUUGUUGCAAUUAUUGUAUCUGUGUAUUACUUUUUCGUACUGUAUAUCAUUCAUUCUCCAUUUCCUCCUGUUGUUGGUCGCCUGAUGCAAGCACAUUACACCUCUGGUCACCGUCCAGUGUAAUUUAGUUUCACUCCUUGAUAAUAGCAGGAUUCAGUGGAGCUACUGUACAAUCAAACAAUAGGAGGACAGAAAGUGUUUUACUCCGAGUUUCACACAGAGUUUCACACACUAAGCGAUCAUCAGAAAACUGUACAAUCGUGUAGAUAGUCCUAUCGGUAAUAUUAAAUUUUUACAAUGUUCCCUUGGCUCGCGAUGACCAUCGGAGUUCUUAGCAAAAUUUGUGUUGAUUUAAAAAAAUUCUCUUUGUACAAAACACAUUCUCUUUUUUCUCUUUUUCAGAUCCCGUGCCAGUCUUUUUUUUUGUCAUUAGAGCACAACUGUGCGCACGACGUGCACAUUGCACGAUAAUUUCUGUAGCAGAUCAGCUCGUAUUCAUAGUAUUCCACCGACGCUAUA